This 253-nucleotide ribosomal RNA is filed under the name uncultured bacterium. RNAcentral's name for it is "partial 16S ribosomal RNA". It matches the Rfam family "Bacterial small subunit ribosomal RNA", at positions 524 to 776 of the family's 1533-position model. The record is from RNAcentral.
UACGUAGGGGGCAAGCGUUGUCCGGAUUUAUUGGGCGUAAAGAGCGUGUAGGCGGCCAGGUAGGUCUGCUGUGAAAACUCGAGGCUCAACCUCGAGAUGUCGGCGGAAACCAUCUGGCUAGAGUCCGGAAGAGGAAAGUGGAAUUCCUGGUGUAGCGGUGAAAUGCGCAGAUAUCAGGAGGAACACCGGUGGCGAAGGCGGGUCUCUGGACAGUUCCUGACGCUGAGGCACGAAGGCCAGGGGAGCAAACGGG